This 74-nucleotide transfer RNA is filed under the name Penaeus vannamei (Pacific white shrimp). RNAcentral's name for it is "Litopenaeus vannamei (Pacific white shrimp) tRNA". It matches the Rfam family "tRNA". Rfam says of the family: Transfer RNA (tRNA) molecules are approximately 80 nucleotides in length. Lineage: Eukaryota; Metazoa; Arthropoda; Malacostraca; Decapoda; Penaeidae. The record is from Rfam by way of RNAcentral.
GGCCUGUUAGCUCAGUUGGUUAGAGCGUCGUGCUAAUAACGCGAAGGUCAUGGGUUCGAUCCCCAUAUAGGCCA